Molecule: ribosomal RNA, 253 nt
Filed under: uncultured bacterium
Lineage: Bacteria
Description: partial 16S ribosomal RNA
Rfam family: Bacterial small subunit ribosomal RNA
Source: RNAcentral
UACGGGGGGAGCAAGCGUUGUUCGGAUUUACUGGGCGUAAAGGGCGCGUAGGCGGCGUGACAAGUCACUUGUGAAAUCUCCGGGCUUAACCCGGAGCGGCCAAGUGAUACUGUCGUGCUAGAGUGCGGAAGGGGCUACUGGAAUUCUCGGUGUAGCGGUGAAAUGCGUAGAUAUCGAGAGGAACACCUGCGGCGAAGGCGGGUUGCUGGGCUGACACUGACGCUGAACUGCGAAAGCUAGGGGAGCGAACGGG